RNAcentral lists this ribosomal RNA (492 nucleotides) under uncultured bacterium. RNAcentral's name for it is "partial 16S ribosomal RNA". It matches the Rfam family "Bacterial small subunit ribosomal RNA", at positions 29 to 507 of the family's 1533-position model. The record is from RNAcentral.
AGUGAACGCUGGCGGUAGGCCUAACACAUGCAAGUCGAACGGCAGCACAGUAAGAGCUUGCUCUUACGGGUGGCGAGUGGCGGACGGGUGAGGAAUACAUCGGAAUCUACUUUUUCGUGGGGGAUAACGUAGGGAAACUUACGCUAAUACCGCAUACGACCUACGGGUGAAAGCAGGGGAUCUUCGGACCUUGCGCGAUUGAAUGAGCCGAUGUCGUAUUAGCUAGUUGGCGGGGUAAAGGCCCACCAAGGCGACGAUCCGUAGCUGGUCUUAGAGGAUGAUCAGCCACACUGGAACUGAGACACGGUCCAGACUCCUACGGGAGGCAGCAGUGGGGAAUAUUGGACAAUGGGCGCAAGCCUGAUCCAGCCAUACCGCGUGGGUGAAGAAGGCCUUCGGGUUGUAAAGCCCUUUUGUUGGGAAAGAAAAGCAGCAGGUUAAUACCCCGCUGUUCUGACGGUACCCAAAGAAUAAGCACCGGCUAACUUCGUG